This is a long non-coding RNA of Ictalurus punctatus (channel catfish), 316 nucleotides long. Lineage: Eukaryota; Metazoa; Chordata; Actinopteri; Siluriformes; Ictaluridae. The record is from Ensembl.
AUCCUGGUCAGGGUCACAGUGGAGCUGAAGCUUAUCCCAGGAACACUGGCUGUGAGGCAGGAAUAACACCGGAUAGGAUGCAGUCUAUCCAAGAACACCAUGAACACACACAUUCACACCUACAGAUUGAAAGUUGUCAGAACAAACAGUGCAUUGCAGCUUGCUGCAUAUCUGGCUGCGUAGCCGCUACCGAAAGCAGCAUGUGGACGGCCGGGUGUGUGUGCGUUGCUUAAUCGGGGAAGAGAUGGCACCAGGAUGCACCAUGGGAAGAAGGCAAGCCAGAGGAGGCAGCGUGAUGCUCUGGGUAAUGUUCUGC